This 443-nucleotide ribosomal RNA is filed under the name uncultured bacterium. RNAcentral's name for it is "partial 16S ribosomal RNA". It matches the Rfam family "Bacterial small subunit ribosomal RNA", at positions 338 to 795 of the family's 1533-position model. The record is from RNAcentral.
CCUACGGGUGGCAGCAGUGGGGAAUAUUGCGCAAUGGAGGCAACUCUGACCCAGCAACGCCGCGUGAAUGAUGAAGGUCUUCGGUUUGUAAACUUCUUUUAUCAGGGAAGAAAAAAGCGCCAGUACAUUAGGAAUCACCCUCGAGCAACUACGUGCCAGCAGCGGCAGUAAUACGUAGGGGGCAGUCGUUAUCCGGAAUGAGUGGGCGUAAAGGGGGCGUAGGUGGUUGGACAAGUUAGUAGCGAAACUCAGGAGCUCAACUUCGGAACUACUUUUAAAACAGUAUGACUUGAUUGCAGGAGAGGUAAGUGGAAUUCCUAGUGUAGCGGUGGAAUGCGUAGAUAUUAGGAGGAACACCAGUGGCGAAGGCGGAUUACUAGACUGUAAAUGACACUGAGGCUCGAAAGCGUGGGGAGCAAACAGGAUUAGAUACCCCUGUAGUC